GCAAGAAGUGAUUGAAGGCAGAGAGAAAUUAGAAGGCGUUGCUCAUGGAGGCGGGCGACAGCGAGGGUAUGUUGAGCAUCCGAAUUGAAUACGUCAAAAGUCUGGUACAAGAAAUCGAGAUGUUAUGAGAUACGUUCUGAGGUCAGAGCACGCAUAUCGAGAAAGCCUGAGAGGCUAAAUUAAGGUUAUGCCUCUAGAACAUUCCACGUUCCAGUUAGGACUUGCAGAUGUGGCAAGAAGAUGAUUGAGACGUAACGACACGUGAUGAUGUGGCUGAUGGGUUUGGUGAGUUGUCCCGGUAUUUGCUUCCUCAUGAGGAUUCAUGAUAUAUUAUCAUAUUGAUGAUCAUGUAUGGUUUAAUGUAUUUUUGAGGUACUUAGUUGUUAUCUCUUGAUGAUAAGUCUCAAUGUAAUUAAGUAUUUGAAGAUGUAAUGGUACGGAUUCUUAUUUUAUGAUUAAAGUGGAUUUCGA
Molecule: long non-coding RNA, 471 nt
Organism: Diospyros lotus (date-plum)
Lineage: Eukaryota; Viridiplantae; Streptophyta; Magnoliopsida; Ericales; Ebenaceae
Exons: 3
Source: RefSeq, a predicted model, not a curated record